This 429-nucleotide ribosomal RNA is filed under the name Chloroflexota bacterium. RNAcentral's name for it is "Chloroflexi bacterium partial 16S ribosomal RNA". It matches the Rfam family "Bacterial small subunit ribosomal RNA", at positions 355 to 776 of the family's 1533-position model. The record is from RNAcentral. Lineage: Bacteria; Bacillati; Chloroflexota.
UGGGGAAUAUUGCACAAUGGGCGCAAGCCUGAUGCAGCCAUGCCGCGUGUAUGAAGAAGGCCUUCGGGUUGUAAAGUACUUUCAGUUGGGAGGAAGGUGGUAAGGUUAAUAACCUUAUCAAUUGACGUUACCGACAGAAGAAGCACCGGCUAACUCCGUGCCAUCAGCCGCGGUAAUACGGAGGGUGCAAGCGUUAAUCGGAAUUACUGGGCGUAAAGCGCACGCAGGCGGUUGAUUGAGUCAGAUGUGAAAUCCCCGGGCUUAACCCGGGAAUUGCAUCUGAUACUGGUCAGCUAGAGUCUUGUAGAGGGGGGUAGAAUUCCAUGUGUAGCGGUGAAAUGCGUAGAGAUGUGGAGGAAUACCGGUGGCGAAGGCGGCCCCCUGGACAAAGACUGACGCUCAGGUGCGAAAGCGUGGGGAGCAAACAGG